This 566-nucleotide ribosomal RNA is filed under the name uncultured bacterium. RNAcentral describes it as "partial 16S ribosomal RNA". It matches the Rfam family "Bacterial small subunit ribosomal RNA", at positions 355 to 914 of the family's 1533-position model. The record is from RNAcentral.
UGGGGAAUUUUGGACAAUGGGCGAAAGCCUGAUCCAGCAAUGCCGCGUGUGUGAAGAAGGCCUUCGGGUUGUAAAGCACUUUUGUCCGGAAAGAAAUCCUUGGCUCUAAUACAGUCGGGGGAUUACGGUACCGGAAGAAUAAGCACCGGCUAACUACGUGCCAGCAGCCGCGGUAAUACGUAGGGUGCAAGCGUUAAUCGGAAUUACUGGGCGUAAAGCGUGCGCAGGCGGUUUGCUAAGACCGAUGUGAAAUCCCCGGGCUCAACCUGGGAACUGCAUUGGUGACUGGCAGGCUAGAGUAUGGCAGAGGGGGGUAGAAUUCCAUGUGUAGCAGUGAAAUGCGUAGAGAUGUGGAGGAAUACCGAUGGCGAAGGCAGCCCCCUGGGCCAAUACUGACGCUCAUGCACGAAAGCGUGGGGAGCAAACAGGAUUAGAUACCCUGGUAGUCCACGCCCUAAACGAUGUCAACUAGUUGUUGGGGAUUCAUUUCCUUAGUAACGUAGCUAACGCGUGAAGUUGACCGCCUGGGGAGUACGGUCGCAAGAUUAAAACUUAAAGGAAUUGAC